CUGUUAUGCAAAACUGGCUGAUCUACCUGGCUGAUCUACGUAGGUGACAGUAGAGAUCUGGAAGGAGUCGGGUGGCAGACUGGAAAUAGGAUAUUGCAGGAGCAUGAAGCGUUGACUGGUUCCCGAGGCAUUCAGGCUAGGUAACAGUGGUGACUGAGCAACUCAUUGGUGCUUUACUGGAUAA
Long non-coding RNA from Tyto alba (common barn owl), 184 nucleotides. RefSeq lists it as uncharacterized. The transcript is spliced from 3 exons. Lineage: Eukaryota; Metazoa; Chordata; Aves; Strigiformes; Tytonidae. The record is from RefSeq and is a predicted model, not a curated record.